Equus asinus (donkey) is the source of this 1966-nucleotide long non-coding RNA. The record is from Ensembl. NCBI's taxonomy places the organism in Eukaryota, Metazoa, Chordata, Mammalia, Perissodactyla, Equidae.
GCGGCCUCUCAGCACUCGCCCGGGGGCCCGCCCGAUCGCCACGCAGGCACCUGCCACCGCCGCCGCCAUACGGGUCGGAGAGGCUGUGCGCCGCUCCCAGGGGAGAUCCGGUUCCCAUCUGGCCCAGCCCGCCCUGCCUUGUCCUGCCCGCAACUCCGGGGCAGCCUGACUCGAUUCCGGGUGUCCUUCAUUCCUCCUCCCAAAAUUGAUGGUGAUGCUGAGCCAGCCCCAGAGGGAGGGGCCAGCUGUAGGCUGGGGUGGAAGGAAGUCUCCUUGGACAGCACUGGACAGACGGACAGGUGUGCCAGCUGCCCUGCCCCACUAAUUCUAGCCCAGCCUUGGAACUUCUGCAUGUGGAGGCCACUCAGGGUCUAUGUGAGAGUGGGGGGGCUCGGAAGUGGAGGCCCUGGGGGGAGCUCAUACCCAGGUGCUAAUCCCCAUCCGGCCAGGGCAGAACCAGGGCCUCACUGACCUUCUUGGAGAUUAGUCCCCAUGGCGACAGUGGCAACUCGCCCCUUCACUCUGGCUCGGCCAGAGGGAAAAACUGAGAAGUAGAGUGCAAGUUCAUCCAACUCAUAAACAGUGGAGCUUUGAUUUGAACCCAGGCGGCAGUGUGACUCCAGAGCCCACACUCUCAACCCUUUGCUGUCUGUAUGCUCAUGGGGACAUGGAGCUCCAGCUCACCACGUGCGGUUCACUCACUCAUUCAAGUUUCAUUGAGUGCCUACGAUGUGUCCAAUGUGCCCUGUGUGAGGUUUGAGGAUAAAGAUUGAGAACAUGGCUGACACAGCCCCUCUCCCCUUAAACAGAGCUGACGCUCUGGUAUAAAGAAAGACACUCAGUACACCCUUAAACACCCAUAAACAAAAGGUGAAAAAGAACUUUAUAGAGUGAUAAACAAUAUAAAGAAAGCAAGGUGAUAUCAUGGACGGUAAAUGCCAGGAACAGGGUCACCCAGGAGGUAAUAAAGGAGCCAGCUGUGCCAAGAUGUGACUGAGACACUCCAGGAAACAGGAAGAGCAAAUGCAAAGACUCUGAGGUGGGAGCAAGCACUGGGAUUGGGAACAGGAGCCUAGGACCAUCAGUCAAAACAGAAGCCCAGGUUCACAUCUCAGUUGGGCCACUUCUCAGCUGUGACACCUCCUCGCCAACGUUCCGGAACGCUUCUGGGUCGCCGCAUCUGUGAAAUGCAAGGCAGUCGCGGCGCCUGCCUCAUCGGCUGGGGGCGAGAAUGAGCUGAGCGCACGCACGUAGAAGCUCUGAGCAGAGCGCCUGGCCUGAACUUCAAGGCGCUCGGUGAUCAGCCGCCGGCUCUCAGCAGACGUCGGGACCGAGGCCCCCAGACCCUGGAGCUCUAUCUGGCGGCUGGCAGCGCCGCGUUCCGGCCGCGCUCGGGUUGAAAUGGUCUCCCUCGCCACGGUGGGGAGCCACUCCCUUUGUUACUAUUAUUCCUAAACGAUUUGUAAACCCGCGCUCUACCUGGGGCGGUUCAGGUUUCCUGCGCUCAGCGCCGCCUUGCGGGAAGUCCUGGUCCUCGCUUCCUCCCGGCCCCUCCACGACGGAAACUCCGGGAGCGGGAGCGCAGCGCAGGGUCUGGGAACUCAAACUUGUGAGGAACGGGGCUGCGAUGGACCGAUCCUCCAGGAGAAGAGGACUGAGGGGCUUGAGGAAAGUGGCCUGCGAAGAGCCUUGUCUACCUCCGCUCUAGCGUCUCCCCCUCGACCGACCUAGGGCUGAAGGAGAGGUGUUGUUUAGACGCUGGAAAGAACUUGCGCGCGCCUCGAGCUGGGAAUGCGCUGUCUUAGGCCCCAGAGUGACCUGGUACCUCCGUCCCUGAGGGUCUGGGCCAGGGAGAGCGCUUUCUGUCCCGAGGUCGGGUGCGCCUUUCCUGGGUCAGGCCCCUAAAAGAAAAAAAGCGGAGUCAGCCUUGGCUGCGGCAGGCGUGGGACGUGUGCCUCAGCACUUU